UGGGGAAUAUUGGACAAUGGGCGAAAGCCUGAUCCAGCCAUGCCGCGUGUGUGAAGAAGGUCUUCGGAUUGUAAAGCACUUCAAGUUGGGAGGAAGGGCAGUAAGUUAAUACCUUGCUGUUUUGACGUUACCGACAGAAUAAGCACCGGCUAACUCUGUGCCAGCAGCCGCGGUAAUACAGAGGGUGCAAGCGUUAAUCGGAAUUACUGGGCGUAAAGCGCGCGUAGGUGGUUUGUUAAGUUGGAUGUGAAAGCCCCGGGCUCAACCUGGGAACUGCAUCCAAAACUGGCAAGCUAGAGUACGGUAGAGGGUGGUGGAAUUUCCUGUGUAGCGGUGAAAUGCGUAGAUAUAGGAAGGAACACCAGUGGCGAAGGCGACCACCUGGACUGAUACUGACACUGAGGUGCGAAAGCGUGGGGAGCAAACA
RNAcentral lists this ribosomal RNA (427 nucleotides) under uncultured bacterium. RNAcentral's name for it is "partial 16S ribosomal RNA". It matches the Rfam family "Bacterial small subunit ribosomal RNA", at positions 355 to 774 of the family's 1533-position model. The record is from RNAcentral.